AAUCUUCCGCAAUGGACGCAAGUCUGACGGAGCAACGCCGCGUGAGUGAUGAAGGUUNNNGGAUCNUCAAACUCUGUUGUUAGNGACNAACAAGUAUCGGAGACACUGCCGGUACCUUGACGGUACCUGACGAGAAAGCCACGGCCAACGACGUUCCAGCAGCCGAGGGCAUACGUAGGUGGCAAGCGAUCGCCGGAUUUAUUUGGCGUAAAACGCGCGCAGGGGGUCUUUUAAGUCUGAUGUUAAAACUUACAGCUUAACUGUAAGCGGUCAUUGGGAACUGGGAGACUUGGGUGCAGAAGAGGAGAGUGGAAUUCCAUGUGUAGCGGUGAAAUGCGUAGAGAUAUGGAGGAACACCAGUGGCGAAGGCGACUCUCUGGUCUGUAACUGACGCUGAGGCGCGAAAGCGUGGGGAUCAAACA
This 422-nucleotide ribosomal RNA is filed under the name uncultured bacterium. RNAcentral's name for it is "partial 16S ribosomal RNA". It matches the Rfam family "Bacterial small subunit ribosomal RNA", at positions 360 to 774 of the family's 1533-position model. The record is from RNAcentral.